UGGUCUAGUGGUUAGGACUCAGCACUUUCACUGCUGCAGCCUAGGUUCAAUCCCUGG
Sus scrofa (pig) is the source of this 57-nucleotide non-coding RNA. The record is from Rfam. Lineage: Eukaryota; Metazoa; Chordata; Mammalia; Artiodactyla; Suidae.